RNAcentral lists this ribosomal RNA (1263 nucleotides) under Micrococcus sp. RNAcentral describes it as "bacterial SSU rRNA". It matches the Rfam family "Bacterial small subunit ribosomal RNA", at positions 136 to 1411 of the family's 1533-position model. Lineage: Bacteria; Bacillati; Actinomycetota; Actinomycetes; Micrococcales; Micrococcaceae. The record is from RNAcentral.
CUCUGGGAUAAGCCUGGGAAACUGGGUCUAAUACUGGAUAUGACUUCUCACCGCAUGGUGGGGGGUGGAAAGAUUUAUUGGUCUUGGAUGGACUCGCGGCCUAUCAGCUUGUUGGUGAGGUAAUGGCUCACCAAGGCGACGACGGGUAGCCGGCCUGAGAGGGUGACCGGCCACACUGGGACUGAGACACGGCCCAGACUCCUACGGGAGGCAGCAGUGGGGAAUAUUGCACAAUGGGCGAAGCCUGAUGCAGCGACGCCGCGUGAGGGAUGACGGCCUUCGGGUUGUAAACCUCUUUCAGUAGGGAAGAAGCGAAAGUGACGGUACCUGCAGAAGAAGCGCCGGCUAACUACGUGCCAGCAGCCGCGGUAAUACGUAGGGCGCGAGCGUUAUCCGGAAUUAUUGGGCGUAAAGAGCUCGUAGGCGGUUUGUCGCGUCUGCCGUGAAAGUCCGGGGCUUAACCCCGGAUCUGCGGUGGGUACGGGCAGACUAGAGUGCAGUAGGGGAGACUGGAAUUCCUGGUGUAGCGGUGAAAUGCGCAGAUAUCAGGAGGAACACCGAUGGCGAAGGCAGGUCUCUGGGCUGUAACUGACGCUGAGGAGCGAAAGCAUGGGGAGCGAACAGGAUUAGAUACCCUGGUAGUCCAUGCCGUAAACGUUGGGCACUAGGUGUGGGGGACAUUCCACGUUUUCCGCGCCGUAGCUAACGCAUUAAGUGCCCCGCCUGGGGAGUACGGCCGCAAGGCUAAAACUCAAAGGAAUUGACGGGGGCCCGCACAAGCGGCGGAGCAUGCGGAUUAAUUCGAUGCAACGCGAAGAACCUUACCAAGGCUUGACAUGUUCCUGACCGCCGUAGAGAUACGGUUUCCCCUUUGGGGCAGGUUCACAGGUGGUGCAUGGUUGUCGUCAGCUCGUGUCGUGAGAUGUUGGGUUAAGUCCCGCAACGAGCGCAACCCUCGUUCCAUGUUGCCAGCACGUAGUGGUGGGGACUCAUGGGAGACUGCCGGGGUCAACUCGGAGGAAGGUGGGGACGACGUCAAAUCAUCAUGCCCCUUAUGUCUUGGGCUUCACGCAUGCUACAAUGGCCGGUACAAUGGGUUGCGAUACUGUGAGGUGGAGCUAAUCCCAAAAAGCCGGUCUCAGUUCGGAUUGGGGUCUGCAACUCGACCCCAUGAAGUCGGAGUCGCUAGUAAUCGCAGAUCAGCAACGCUGCGGUGAAUACGUUCCCGGGCCUUGUACACACCGCCCGUCAAGUCACGAAAGU